RNAcentral lists this ribosomal RNA (1266 nucleotides) under Lactiplantibacillus plantarum. Its description in RNAcentral is "bacterial SSU rRNA". It matches the Rfam family "Bacterial small subunit ribosomal RNA", at positions 157 to 1410 of the family's 1533-position model. The record is from RNAcentral. Lineage: Bacteria; Bacillati; Bacillota; Bacilli; Lactobacillales; Lactobacillaceae.
CAGAUGCUAAUACCGCAUAACAACUUGGACCGCAUGGUCCGAGCUUGAAAGAUGGCUUCGGCUAUCACUUUUGGAUGGUCCCGCGGCGUAUUAGCUAGAUGGUGGGGUAACGGCUCACCAUGGCAAUGAUACGUAGCCGACCUGAGAGGGUAAUCGGCCACAUUGGGACUGAGACACGGCCCAAACUCCUACGGGAGGCAGCAGUAGGGAAUCUUCCACAAUGGACGAAAGUCUGAUGGAGCAACGCCGCGUGAGUGAAGAAGGGUUUCGGCUCGUAAAACUCUGUUGUUAAAGAAGAACAUAUCUGAGAGUAACUGUUCAGGUAUUGACGGUAUUUAACCAGAAAGCCACGGCUAACUACGUGCCAGCAGCCGCGGUAAUACGUAGGUGGCAAGCGUUGUCCGGAUUUAUUGGGCGUAAAGCGAGCGCAGGCGGUUUUUUAAGUCUGAUGUGAAAGCCUUCGGCUCAACCGAAGAAGUGCAUCGGAAACUGGGAAACUUGAGUGCAGAAGAGGACAGUGGAACUCCAUGUGUAGCGGUGAAAUGCGUAGAUAUAUGGAAGAACACCAGUGGCGAAGGCGGCUGUCUGGUCUGUAACUGACGCUGAGGCUCGAAAGUAUGGGUAGCAAACAGGAUUAGAUACCCUGGUAGUCCAUACCGUAAACGAUGAAUGCUAAGUGUUGGAGGGUUUCCGCCCUUCAGUGCUGCAGCUAACGCAUUAAGCAUUCCGCCUGGGGAGUACGGCCGCAAGGCUGAAACUCAAAGGAAUUGACGGGGGCCCGCACAAGCGGUGGAGCAUGUGGUUUAAUUCGAAGCUACGCGAAGAACCUUACCAGGUCUUGACAUACUAUGCAAAUCUAAGAGAUUAGACGUUCCCUUCGGGGACAUGGAUACAGGUGGUGCAUGGUUGUCGUCAGCUCGUGUCGUGAGAUGUUGGGUUAAGUCCCGCAACGAGCGCAACCCUUAUUAUCAGUUGCCAGCAUUAAGUUGGGCACUCUGGUGAGACUGCCGGUGACAAACCGGAGGAAGGUGGGGAUGACGUCAAAUCAUCAUGCCCCUUAUGACCUGGGCUACACACGUGCUACAAUGGAUGGUACAACGAGUUGCGAACUCGCGAGAGUAAGCUAAUCUCUUAAAGCCAUUCUCAGUUCGGAUUGUAGGCUGCAACUCGCCUACAUGAAGUCGGAAUCGCUAGUAAUCGCGGAUCAGCAUGCCGCGGUGAAUACGUUCCCGGGCCUUGUACACACCGCCCGUCACACCAUGAGAG